RNAcentral lists this ribosomal RNA (468 nucleotides) under uncultured bacterium. RNAcentral describes it as "partial 16S ribosomal RNA". It matches the Rfam family "Bacterial small subunit ribosomal RNA", at positions 28 to 507 of the family's 1533-position model. The record is from RNAcentral.
AACGAACGCUGGCGGCAUGCUUAACACAUGCAAGUCGAACGGAAAGACCCUGCUUUUGUGCGGUUCUCGAGUGCCGAACGGGUGAGUGACACGUGUGUAACCUGCCCUUGACUUUGGGAUAACUUCACGAAACUGGGCCUAAUCCCGGAUCGCAUCUCCUGCUGCAUGGUGGGGGGUGGAUAGUUUCGGCUGUCGGGGAUGGAUGAGCGGGUUAUCGGCUUGUUGGUGGGGUAGUUGCUUGCCAAGGCUUUGACGGAUAGCCGGCAUGAGAGGGUGACCGGCGACCUUGCUCCUGAGAUACGGCGCAGACGCGAACGUGAGGCAGUAGUGGGGAGCCUGGUACAAUGGGCGGACGUGGGAUGCAGCAGCGUCGCGUGCGGGAUGCCGGCCUUCUGGUUGUGAACCGCAUUAGCCUGAUACGACGCGUGAGUGACGGUAAUGGGUAAAGAAGCACCGGCUAACUACGUG